AGUCGUAACAAGGUCUCCGUUGGUGAACCAGCGGAGGGAUCAUUACCGAGUUUACAACUCCCAAACCCUUAUGUGAACCGUACCUAUCGUUGCUUCGGCGGGAACGCCCCGGCGCCCUGCGCCCGGAUCCAGGCGCCCGCCGGAGACCCCAAACUCUUGUGUUUUUUUCAGUAUUCUCUGAGUGGCAAACGCAAAAAUAAAUCAAAACUUUUAACAACGGAUCUCUUGGCUCUGGCAUCGAUGAAGAACGCAGCGAAAUGCGAUAAGUAAUGUGAAUUGCAGAAUUCAGUGAAUCAUCGAAUCUUUGAACGCACAUUGCGCCCGUUAGCAUUCUAGCGGGCAUGCCUGUCCGAGCGUCAUUUCAACCCUCAGGGUCCCCGUUCCGGCGGGGAACCUGGUGUUGGGGAUCGGCCCGCCCCGUGCGGCGCCGUCCCCCAAAUUCAGUGGCGGUCUCGCUGCAGCCUCCCCUGCGUAGUAGUUACAACCUCGCAUCGGAGCUCAGCGCGGCCACGCCGUAAAACCCCCGACUUUCUGAACGUUGACCUCGGAUCAGGUAGGAAUACCCGCUGAACCUAAGCAUAUCA
This 584-nucleotide unclassified non-coding RNA is filed under the name Stachybotrys chartarum. Its description in RNAcentral is "sequence contains 18S rRNA gene, ITS1, 5.8S rRNA gene, ITS2, 28S rRNA gene". The stretch from base 206 to 359 matches the Rfam family "5.8S ribosomal RNA". Lineage: Eukaryota; Fungi; Ascomycota; Sordariomycetes; Hypocreales; Stachybotryaceae. The record is from RNAcentral.